AACACUGUGACACUGCAUAGAAGACCAAUGUGUUACAUUAAAAUAAGCAGUUUCCCGGCUACAGCUGGCCAUGCAUAGCACAGUAUUUGCUUGACAGAAGAAAAAAAAUGCUGCAGUGUUGUCAGGAUCUCUAACUACAAUCCUCUGGCAAUGAAAGAGACCCCAGAAAUUACGUAUAGCAUGCUGCAGUGAAAACAUUAAAAGCCUCACUUUCCUACCUGCUGCACCCCAGUCGUUUUCUCUUCUUGACACAAGAUGGAGAAGAGGGGACAACCAGUAGUCAGAAAGGGUCACUGUUCUCUGGGUCUGCCUCCCUUGUCUGGUGAUGGUGCACAGUUUACAGAAGAAGGCCCUUGGAGGAGCUGCCUGCUUUUUGCAGUGACCAAACGUUUAUGCUCUUUGAGGAGGAGGCUGGUUCAAGGAACCUGCAGUUACUACA
Molecule: long non-coding RNA, 439 nt
Organism: Oxyura jamaicensis (ruddy duck)
Lineage: Eukaryota; Metazoa; Chordata; Aves; Anseriformes; Anatidae
Exons: 3
Source: RefSeq, a predicted model, not a curated record